UGUUAAAACUUUCAUUCACUUCUAUUGUUAAAAACUAGUGUGGUUGAUAGAAUAACUAGACAGUUACACAUGGCAUGCCAUGUGUGCAUCAUGUUGACGUAUGUGUGCAUCAUGCUGAAGUACAAGGACCUGUUUUUAACAAUAGAAAUGGAUGAAAUUUUUAACA
This is a non-coding RNA of Gossypium hirsutum (cotton), 166 nucleotides long. The record is from Rfam. Lineage: Eukaryota; Viridiplantae; Streptophyta; Magnoliopsida; Malvales; Malvaceae.